AAGGGGGGAGGUACCGGCAAUGUAGUCUUCCCAGGGGGCCCCACACCUCAGGGCUUCUCCUGUUGGCUUAUCACAAACCUUGCCUGGAGGAAGGAGAUAAGAUAACUGAGGGUCUAAGAGAUUGACUGGUCAGUUCGAAGUCACACUGCUUGUGAGGCGUCAACAGUCCCCUAGAACAUCUGCUUCUGCUGCUGAGGCCCAGGGGCAUUCGUCCCUUCCCUACACUUUCAGCAGUCCCAGCUGUCCUGGCAGGCAAGAGAAGGAAGAAGAACCUAGGAGGUCAAGAGAGAUGAGAGGGACAGGAAGGAUGGCAUCGGGAUGGGCUGUUUUCAUGUGCCAGGCGUCCAACAUGCAUCAUGUCAUUACCAUUCCUUGGUGUGGCUAUUACAUCUACAAUGGAGAUAGUAAGACACCCAAGGCCCAGAGUGGUUAGGAGACUCCCACCAAGUGGUACAGCUAAUAACUGAAGAAAAACCUGAACCUAGGACCAUCUGUGUUUUACACCACACUGGCAGG
Molecule: long non-coding RNA, 516 nt
Organism: Odocoileus virginianus texanus
Lineage: Eukaryota; Metazoa; Chordata; Mammalia; Artiodactyla; Cervidae
Source: RefSeq, a predicted model, not a curated record